RNAcentral lists this small nuclear RNA (327 nucleotides) under Castor canadensis (American beaver). RNAcentral's name for it is "7SK RNA (ENSCCNG00000014225.1)". It matches the Rfam family "7SK RNA". From Rfam's summary of the family: 7SK was discovered as an abundant small nuclear RNA in the mid-70s but a possible function has only recently been suggested. Two independent studies have found that 7SK RNA binds the CDK9/cyclin T complex (known as elongation factor P-TEFb). Lineage: Eukaryota; Metazoa; Chordata; Mammalia; Rodentia; Castoridae. The record is from RNAcentral.
GGAUGUGAGGGUGAUCUGGCUAUGACAUAUGUCACCCCAUUUAUCUCCAGGGUUGAUUCGGCUGAUCUGGCUGGCUAGGUGGGUGUCCCCUUCCUCCCUCACUGCUCCAUGUGCGUCCCUCCUGAAGCUGCUCAGUUGAAGAGGAUGACCAUCCUCAAUAGAGGAGGACCGUUCUUCAGUCAAGGGUAUAUGAGUAGCUGCGUUCCCCUGCUAGAACCUCCAAACAAGCUCUCAAAAUGUCUUCCUCCAUAACUGAUGAAGCAUUCAUUUACUUUAGGGCUGAGUGCAGUAGCUUGCCCCUGUAAUCCCAGCUAUCCAGAGGGAGAU